This 375-nucleotide ribosomal RNA is filed under the name Rhipicephalus sanguineus (brown dog tick). Its description in RNAcentral is "partial large subunit ribosomal RNA". Lineage: Eukaryota; Metazoa; Arthropoda; Arachnida; Ixodida; Ixodidae. The record is from RNAcentral.
GACUAUCAAAGGAUUAUAAGAUUUAAUGAAUGCAAGAGAAUGGAAUUUCAGAAAAAAACUUUUUUCAAGUUAAAAAAUGAAUUUUUUUUAAUUUGUGCAGAAACAAUUAUUAUAUUAAGGACAAGAAGACCCUAUGAAUUUAUAAAUUUUAUUAAUAUGUACUACUAUAAAAAAUUAGCUGGGGCGGCGAAAAAUAUAACUUUUUUAAAAAAAAUGACCCAUUAUAAUGAUAUAGUAAAUACUCUAGGGAUAACAGCGUUAUAUUUUUUGAUAGAUCAUAUGACAAAAAAGUUUGCGACCUCGAUGUUGGAUAGGAUACUUUUUAAUGCAGAUAUAAAAAAAGCAAUUGUUCAACUUUUAUAUAUAUAUAUAUAU